This 497-nucleotide ribosomal RNA is filed under the name uncultured bacterium. Its description in RNAcentral is "partial 16S ribosomal RNA". It matches the Rfam family "Bacterial small subunit ribosomal RNA", at positions 28 to 507 of the family's 1533-position model. The record is from RNAcentral.
GGUGAACGCUGGCGGCGUGCCUAAUACAUGCAAGUCGAGCGAACAGACGAGGAGCUUGCUCCUCUGACGUUAGCGGCGGACGGGUGAGUAACACGUGGAUAACCUACCUAUAAGACUGGGAUAACUUCGGGAAACCGGAGCUAAUACCGGAUAAUAUAUUGAACCGCAUGGUUCAAUAGUGAAAGACGGUUUUGCUGUCACUUAUAGAUGGAUCCGCGCCGCAUUAGCUAGUUGGUAAGGUAACGGCUUACCAAGGCAACGAUGCGUAGCCGACCUGAGAGGGUGAUCGGCCACACUGGAACUGAGACACGGUCCAGACUCCUACGGGAGGCAGCAGUAGGGAAUCUUCCGCAAUGGGCGGAAGCCUGACGGAGCAACGCCGCGUGAGUGAUGAAGGUCUUCGGAUCGUAAAACUCUGUUAUUAGGGAAGAACAAAUGUGUAAGUAACUAUGCACGUCUUGACGGUACCUAAUCAGAAAGCCACGGCUAACUACGUG